Mesocricetus auratus (golden hamster) is the source of this 905-nucleotide long non-coding RNA. RefSeq lists it as uncharacterized. The record is from RefSeq and is a predicted model, not a curated record. The transcript is spliced from 2 exons. Lineage: Eukaryota; Metazoa; Chordata; Mammalia; Rodentia; Cricetidae.
AAGAAAUACCCCCGCCCCAAGGGAGUAGCAUUAUUAGGAGUGGUGGCUUUGUCAGAGUGGGUGUGGCUUUGUUGGAGGAAGUGUGUCACUGUGGAGGCGGAUUUUGAGGUCUCAAACCAUGCCCAUUGUCUCAGAUCACUUCCUGUUGCUUUCAAGUCAAGAUGUGGGAUGCUCAGUUACUUCUGCACCAUGUCUGCCUGCAUGCCACCAUGUCCCACCAUGAUGAUAAUGGAGUAAACCUCUGAAAAUCCUCACUGGGAUAGUGGUGUGCUUCUCAGGCAAUUAGAAGACGAUCUGCUGUGUGGUAUGCCGCAUCUCCAGAGCAGAAACUUCAGCUGCGGCCAGUGCCGAGCCACCAACUGAACAGUUUAUAGCAUCUGCACACAGUUAACAAACGGCUCCUGCACGCCUGGAAGGGACAGCUCCAGGCCACCAUUGAGUCUGCGGCAGAACCUCUAAUGAAACUAAUUGAUAUUUCUGCACCCAAACACGUAAAUAUUCACACUAAUUGGCAUAAAACGGUUUCAUAUCCAUCGAGGUCAGAUCUUUGCCUACAAAUGAGUCAACCACCAAUUAACUGCAAAGGAGCCUUCUGCCUACAGGGAUCCUUGGGUUUCACACUGCAGGAGAAGGAUGAUGGGUCUGCGUCACUCUGCAGAUUUGGGGUAAUGUGCAAAAUUCUCUCAAAGUUUUGUGCAUAGUGGUGAUAAUGAUUUUGAGUGAAAUGGUCUUCAAGGUCCCUUCGAGUCUUAGAAAUCCAUAGCCAAACUGUGGAGGAAUAGACUGGGCCUGGUGAUGAGCACCUGUGAUCCCAGCUCUGGAGGGGUGGGGAACUGAGGCACGAGGAUCAAAGACUGAAGGCCAGCGUCACGAAUAAUAAAAACACAGAGAUAUUGUGGUUCAAA